GUAGGGGGCAAGCGUUGUCCGGAUUUAUUGGGCGUAAAGAGCGUGUAGGCGGCCAGACAGGUCCGGUGGGAAAACUCGAGGCUCAACCUCGAGACGCCGAUGGAAACCGUCUGGCUAGAGUCCGGAAGAGGAGAGUGGAAUUCCUGGUGUAGCGGUGAAAUGCGCAGAUAUCAGGAAGAACACCCGUGGCUAAGGCGGCUCUCUAGUACGGUACUGACGCUGAGACGCGAAAGCGUGGGGAGCGAACAGG
RNAcentral lists this ribosomal RNA (250 nucleotides) under uncultured bacterium. RNAcentral describes it as "partial 16S ribosomal RNA". It matches the Rfam family "Bacterial small subunit ribosomal RNA", at positions 527 to 776 of the family's 1533-position model. The record is from RNAcentral.